AUGGCGGCUGCCGCGACGGCGACGGCGGCGGCGGCGGGGAAUCUCCCGUUCCCGCUGCUCACGAGGACAAACUACGCGGCGUGGGCGAUGAGCAUGAAGUACCUCCUGCGGGCCAACGGCACAUGGGCUGCCGUUGAUCACGAGGCGUCGUCCACGGAGGUCGACAAGGGCAAGGAGGAGAUGGCCAUGACGAUCAUCUCCCAGUCGAUCGACGACACAACGCUGCUGCGAGUUGCGGAGAAGGAGACCGCCGCCGAUGUGUGGGCGGCGCUACGCUCCAUGCACGUGGGCGUCGAGCGCGUCCGAGAGGCGAGGAUUCAGUCCUUGUGCUCGGAGUUUGACGGCCUCAAGAUGGGUGAUGCGGAGUCCGUGGAUGACCUCGCGGUGAGGUUCACGACGCUCGUGGGGCGCAUCCAUGAGCUUGGUGAUGCGAUGGAGGAGAAGUACGUCAUGAAGAAGCUGCUCCGAGCUUUCUCCAACAAGUUCAUUCACGUUGCGUCUUCAAUUGCAUUGUUGGGCGACACCAACAAGAUGGCCAUGGAGGAGGCCAUUGGUUCACCCAAGGCGCAUGAGGAGCUUGUGAAGGGACGGGAGACGGGGCGUGAAGAGGAGCAACUUCUGAUGGCGAGGGGACACGACUCGUCGCGAGGACGGGGUCAUGGUCGUGGACGCGGUGGAGGGCGCAAAGACAAAAGCGAGGUACAGUGUUACAAUUGUCGUCAACUUGGUCACUUUGCCUGGGAGUGUCCGGAGAAGAAGAAGGAGAAUGAGGAGAAGGCGCUGCUGGCCGGCUACGGCAGCGACGGGCUCUUCUUUGAAUCCUUGCGCUCGGAGUUUCACGGCCUCAAGAUGGGUGAUGCGGAGUCCGUGGAUGACUUUGCGGUGAGGUUCACGACGCUCGUGGGGUGCAUCCGUGAGCUUGGUGAUGCGAUGGAGGAGAAGUACGUCAUGAAGAAGAUGCUCCAAGCCAUAUCCAACAAGUUCAUCCACGUUGAGUCUUCAAUUGCAUUGUUCGGCGACACCAACAAGAUGGCCAUGGAGGAGGCCAUUGGUUCACUCAAGGCGCAUGAGGAGCUUGUCAAGGGACGGGAGACGGGGCGUGAAGAGGAGCAACUUCUGAUGGGGUACGUGCGAGGCAUACACCUGAUGGUUCAGUUUGAAGAGCAUGCAUGAGAGAAAACGGCAGGCUGUGUGAUACAGCGGCCACCAAAACCAGAGUUCUUCUAUUCCUCGAGAGUUCUACGUGAGGUAGAAGAGAGGAAGAAGAAGCGGCUGAGCGAUUCAGCUCCAACAGCAUCUAAGCACGACCUCGUGAUACAGAACUUCGCCAAACUUCCGGUGGGCGUCGUGUGCGCCACAUACAUGCAGUUCAAAGGCAGAGGGAACUACGGCGGGCUUAUGCCUACUGAACUAUAUUCGAAACUAUCAGAGUGUAUAGCAGAUUAG
Molecule: ribosomal RNA, 1446 nt
Filed under: Triticum aestivum (bread wheat)
Lineage: Eukaryota; Viridiplantae; Streptophyta; Magnoliopsida; Poales; Poaceae
Description: partial small subunit ribosomal RNA
Source: RNAcentral